This is a long non-coding RNA of Vitis riparia (riverbank grape), 1389 nucleotides long. RefSeq lists it as uncharacterized. Lineage: Eukaryota; Viridiplantae; Streptophyta; Magnoliopsida; Vitales; Vitaceae. The transcript has 2 exons. The record is from RefSeq and is a predicted model, not a curated record.
UUACAUAUUGGUUAUUAAGAGAAACCAGAGGCAUGCAGUGUAGUGUGUAGAUUAUAUAUAGUAUGAUAAGGAACUAAUUAAAGAUAAAAGCAGGCAUGAGGAAGAAAGAAACAAGAGAGAGAUGGGAAUCCAAUUCAUCCAACCACUCCCAGACAAAUCAGUUUCAGAAGAGGAGAAGGAAGCUUUGCUUUAUGAUCCCAUAAAAGAAGAUGAUGAUCCGCAAAGGCCUUAAAACCGUAACCCAGAUUUCUCACCUAACCCUUCUCUCUCGGCGUGCAGCUGGGGGAUGGGGGUACAUCUUUGCCCCACCACCUCCUUUCUUUCUCUCUUUAAACCCCUCCCCAACCCUACGACUUUCUCAAAGCUUAGAGACCAAACUCAAAAGCAGGAAAAGGAAAAGUGGCUGGCAGUUCAGGUGGAGUUGUUUCUUCUCUGGUGUCUACUUUAUUGCCAAUUUGCCAACUCAAAAGCUACUUGCUCACUUGCUGGGAGAAGAAAAGGAUUGAGAAAGAGAUCAAGAUGUGGUGCUUCCCCAAUGCAGGAAAUUUAUUCUAAUGCCACUAGUGCAGCACUUCAGAUUGAAAUCACCAUCCUGGGCGUCGUGGUCACACAUGAAGAGAGAGAGCUGGGAGUAUAUAAUGAACAUACAGAUAUACCAGUCAGUGUCAGUGUAAUGAAUUUUUCAUUUAAUCACUUCUGAUUCAUUCAGCUUCAGCAGCAUGUCCAUGCCUUCCCUUGCAUACUUACAUGCCUGGCUCCCUGUAUGCCAUUUGCAAAGUCCACCCGAGGAUCGGUAGCCUUCGCGGAUGGCGUGCGAGGAGCCAUGCAUGCAUCUUGCUUAACCAUUCCCUCUCCCUGCAUGUCUCUAAUCUUCUUCUCACUCUUCUCAAUUUUAUGUGCUGUUAGAGCUUUUUUGUUCCGUUGUUACUCCCACAUGCACAAAGCUACAACAUGUAAAUCCCAAAGAAGAACAUUUAUAGAUUUGUUCAGGCUUUGGUACUUGGUUAGGCAUUUAGAAAACCCACAUUUUCUUCCUUGUUAGCCUUUAUAAAGGAUCCUGAAAAGACUGAAACUCAAGUUCCAAAGUAAUAAAACCGUCCUCAAACUUAAAUAGUAGGAUUAAUGAAUUUGGGAAGGUGUGGGGUGUGCCUGCCCCCAUUGCCCAACUAAAGAUCAUAUCACCCUAUAUAUGGAAGUAAGACUAAGUACACCGCUUUUGAUGUUUUUUCUUGCGAUAUGUAGCAAUCAUAGGUACUAAGUGCACCAUAAUGAAGCAAAGCCUCGGUCACUAUGCUGACAAUAUCAUGUGAUGCAUAACUUGUGGGACUGGAAAGCAUUUAUAUCUUCUUGGUUUUAUCCCAAAAUCAUUGACCAGUUUUAAAAUUUUUG